UACAGAGGUCUCAAGCGUUGUUCGGAUUCAUUGGGCGUAAAGGGUGCGUAGGUGGCGCCAUAAGUCAGGUGUGAAAUCUCGGGGCUCAACCUCGAAACUGCACUUGAUACUGUGGUGCUUGAGUACUGGAGAGGAGAUUGGAAUUUACGGUGUAGCAGUGAAAUGCGUAGAUAUCUGGAGGAACACCGGUGGCGAAGGCGGCAUCCUGGACCACGACUGACACUGAAAAGCGAAAGCCAGGGGAGCAAACGGG
Molecule: ribosomal RNA, 253 nt
Filed under: uncultured bacterium
Lineage: Bacteria
Description: partial 16S ribosomal RNA
Rfam family: Bacterial small subunit ribosomal RNA
Source: RNAcentral